Molecule: ribosomal RNA, 253 nt
Filed under: uncultured bacterium
Lineage: Bacteria
Description: partial 16S ribosomal RNA
Rfam family: Bacterial small subunit ribosomal RNA
Source: RNAcentral
UACGUAGGUGGCGAGCGUUGUCCGGAAUUAUUGGGCGUAAAGGGCGCGUAGGCGGCACUUUAAGUCAGAUGUGAAACCCCGGGGCUUAACUCCGGAAUGGCAUUUGAAACUGGGGUGCUUGAGUGCAGGAGAGGUAAGUGGAAUUCCUAGUGUAGCGGUGAAAUGCGUAGAUAUUAGGAGGAACACCAGUGGCGAAGGCGACUUACUGGACUGUAACUGACGCUGAGGCGCGAAAGCGUGGGGAGCAAACAGG